Carassius carassius (crucian carp) is the source of this 601-nucleotide long non-coding RNA. RefSeq lists it as uncharacterized. The record is from RefSeq and is a predicted model, not a curated record. The transcript is spliced from 3 exons. NCBI's taxonomy places the organism in Eukaryota, Metazoa, Chordata, Actinopteri, Cypriniformes, Cyprinidae.
UCUUCCUAACACCAGAUGAUGUAAGGUUGGUAAACGCCAUCUCCGUAUCUUCACUUUGCUGGACAUUAAUGAUGCUGUCAGUGUGGAAAAGCUGGUGACAGGUGAACUGAAAUAAAAGAUUUGCUUUUUUCAACCUUUGACAAAAGACCAGCCACUGGUUAUUGUUGUCCAGACACCACAACAGAAGGCUCUACUCCAAGAGAACCCCCACCCCAUGGUUUUUAUGGACGCAUCCUACAAAGGUUUGACAUCAUAUGGGUAUGCACUGUAUGCCCUUGUACUUGUCAAACAACUGGAAGACGAGUGCCAUUUGCAUACCUAAUAAUGAGCCAGGAAUCCUCAGCAAUAGUUGAGCUUUGCUUGAACAUGCUUUGUUCAAGAAAUCCAAACUUUUACCCAAGGUCAGUUAUGAUCGACAGAGACUUAAAAGAGCUCAAUGCCAUAAGAGAAGUUUUCCCCAAAACCAAAGUUCUCCUCUGUUGGUUUCAUGUUCUCCAGGCUGUACAUCGCUGAGUUACAUCAAGAGAUGGUGGGAACCUGUCACCUGAUAAAAGACACGUCGUCAUUCAUGCCAUGACCUCAAUGAAAGCUUGCAUAAUGG